This 562-nucleotide ribosomal RNA is filed under the name uncultured bacterium. RNAcentral's name for it is "partial 16S ribosomal RNA". It matches the Rfam family "Bacterial small subunit ribosomal RNA", at positions 355 to 912 of the family's 1533-position model. The record is from RNAcentral.
CUAAGAAUAUUCCGCAAUGGACGGAAGUCUGACGGAGCGACGCCGCGUGGAUGACGAAGGCCGAAAGGUUGUAAAGUUCUUUUGCUGGGGAAGAAUAACCGCAGGAGGGAAUGCCUGUGGGAUGACAAGAACCGGCGAAUAAGCCCCGGCCAACUACGUGCCAGCAGCCGCGGUAACACGUAGGGGGCGAGCGUUGUUCGGAAUUACUGGGCGUAAAGGGCAUGUAGGCGGCUUGGAAAGCCUGGCGUGAAAGUCUGCAGCUUAACUGCAGGGGUGCGCUGGGAACUGCUGAGCUUGAGUGACGGAGAGGGAGCUGGAAUUCCUGGUGUAGGGGUGAAAUCUGUAGAUAUCAGGAAGAACACCGAUGGCGAAGGCAAGCUCCUGGCCGACGACUGACGCUGAGGUGCGAAAGUGUGGGGAUCAAACAGGAUUAGAUACCCUGGUAGUCCACACAGUCAACGAUGUGCACUAGGUGCUGGGGCGGUAGCUUCGGUGCCGGAGCGAACGUGGUGAAGUGCACCGCCUGGGGAGUAUGCUCGCAAGGGUGAAACUCAAGGAAUUG